RNAcentral lists this ribosomal RNA (253 nucleotides) under uncultured bacterium. RNAcentral's name for it is "partial 16S ribosomal RNA". It matches the Rfam family "Bacterial small subunit ribosomal RNA", at positions 524 to 776 of the family's 1533-position model. The record is from RNAcentral.
UACAGAGGUCUCAAGCGUUGUUCGGAUUCAUUGGGCGUAAAGGGUGCGUAGGUGGCGCGGUAAGUCGGGUGUGAAAUUUCGGAGCUUAACUCCGAAACUGCAUUCGAUACUGCCGUGCUUGAGGACUGGAGAGGAGACUGGAAUUUACGGUGUAGCAGUGAAAUGCGUAGAGAUCGUAAGGAAGACCAGUGGCGAAGGCGGGUCUCUGGGCCGAUACUGACGCUGAGGAGCGAAAGCGUGGGGAGCGAACAGG